UGUACGCAAUGUCGUCCUGGAGCUCCUCGGACGGAUUUACUGCCGCUGGGUCCAUGGUGGCUGGUUUGUAAUGGCCUGCAUUUGUAUAGCGCUUUUCUAGUCCAUAGGACCCCAAAGCACUUUACACUACAUUCAGUCAUCUACCCAUUCACACACACAUUCACACACUGGCGAUAGCAAGCUACAUUGUAGCCACAGCUGCCCUGGGGCGCACUGACAGAGGCGAGGCUGCCGGACACAGGCGCCACCUGGCCCUCUGACCACCACCAGUAGGCAAACAUGGGGUUAGUAUCUUGCCCAAGGAUAUUUGCCAUGCAGCCAGGAUGCAGCCUGGGAUCGAACCACCGACCUUCUGAUUAGUGGCUGGAGAAAGGACCCAAAAGGCGGCAGCUCUGGUGCAGGUGCGUGUUUAUUUACAGCAGUGGGUACAAACAGCAACGGGUGUGAACAUGAAACCGAAAACCUAAACUGGGUAAACUAACAACACAAACCAGGAAUGACGGUGCAGGGAGAUCCGGGGAAAUACACAUGAAGAAACGCAGGGAGACCGAGGGGAAACAACACAGACGAACCAGCGAUCACUAAGACAGAAAAUACAACUUAAAUACACUCAGAACACAGGGAGAUUACACACAGGUGGGAGACACAGCUGGGAGUGAUUAACAUGACGAGACCAGGGAGGCAAACUGAAAACACUCACAUAAGACGCAGACCUUCACAAUAAAACAGGAACACACGGGGGGGGGACAGGGUAAACACCAAUUAGAGAACAGAACCAAAAUCGCGAAGAGAAAACACAAAACGCUGGGUCAAAAGGACCCAGGAUCAUGACAUUAAUAAAGGAAAGUUUUAAGCCUAAUCUUAAGAGUAGAGAGGAUGUCUGUCUCAUGAAGGUUGAGGGCUCUGCCUCACAUUCUACUUUAAAAUAUUCCAGGAACCAGAAGUAAACCAGCAGCCUGAGAAUGAAGCGCUCUAUUGGGCUGAUAGAGUACUAUGAAGACUUAAAGACUGGGCCUGAUUAUUCAAGACCUUGUGAGUGGGAAGAAGGAUUUUCCAUGGAUAGAACUGAAAGCACCCACAAGAUAAACAGGUGUAUCCCAAUAGGCCUCAGUCAAGGUCAGAGUUCAUCAUUCAACAAUAAGAAGACGACUGGGCUGGGUGUUACAAGUAUGUAAAAACCUAAGAAACCAAUAAAGGAGCAAAUUCUUUUUCACAUCAACUGUAAAUUAUUGCACCCAAGGUCUUAACAGCAUCAACCUAAAAAAAAAUUAAGAGCCUGAAACUCUUAUCUUGCAGUAUUUUUAACCAGUGAUGCCAGUCUUAGACUUGGUACACACAUUAAACAUGUGGUACACAGAGCUCACAAUGCAAGGUUGGCAAAGAUUUAUACCAGCAUGGGGCCAUUAUGCCCUCAUAGCAGAGGCCAGCCAACAGACUUCAUCCACAUGUUCUGGCUCAGGCCAAGGAGCUGCACCUUCCUACAAGUAUAUAUCAAAGUUUUUGGUAAGAUGUUUGGAAUCCAAUUUGACCCAGAUUGACUCUGUCUCCACAUAUAAAAUGAAAUUCAUGUGUUCAUUGCUUUCACCACACUUACAACAAGACAACUGUACAUUGCAAAGUUGAAGCAGUGUGCCCCUUCAGCCUUGUCUCAAUGACUCUAAGUUGGC
Astatotilapia calliptera (eastern happy) is the source of this 1667-nucleotide long non-coding RNA. The record is from Ensembl. NCBI's taxonomy places the organism in Eukaryota, Metazoa, Chordata, Actinopteri, Cichliformes, Cichlidae.